This 1491-nucleotide long non-coding RNA is filed under the name Mytilus galloprovincialis (Mediterranean mussel). Lineage: Eukaryota; Metazoa; Mollusca; Bivalvia; Mytilida; Mytilidae. The record is from RNAcentral.
UAGGGGGUCAAUCGACUAUUUUGGCCAUAGUGACUUAUUUUUAGUUCUUACUUUGCUGUUCAUUAUUGCUGUUUACAGUUUAUCUCUAUCUAUAAUAAUAUUCAAGAUAACAAAAAAAACAGCAAAAUUUCCUCAAAAUUACCAAUUCAGGGGCAGCAACCUAACAACCGAUUAUCCGAUUCAUCUGAAAAUUUCAGGGCAGAUAGAUCGUGACCUGAUCAACAAUUUUACUUCCUGUCAGAUUUGCUCUUAAUGCUUGGUUUUUGAGUUAUAAGCCAAAACUGCAUUUUACCCCCAUGUUCUAUUUUUAGCCAUGGCCGCCAUCUUGGUUUGUUGGCCGAGUUACCCGACACAUUUUUUAACUAGAUACCCCAAUGAUGAUUAUGGCUAAGUGUGGUUAAAUUUGGCCCAGUAGUUUCAGAGGAGAAGAUUUUUCUAAAAGAUUACUAAGAUUUACGAAAAAUGGUUAAAAAUUGACUAUAAAGGACAAUAACUCCUAAAGUGGUCAACUGACCAUUUUGGUCAUGUUCACUUAUUUGUAGAUCUUACUUUGCUGAACAUUAUUGCUGUUUACAGUUUAUCUCUAUCUAUAAUAAUAUUCAAGAUAAUAACCAAAAAACAGCAAAAUUUCCUUAAAAUUAUCAAUUCAGGGGCAGCAACCCAACAACGGGUUGUUCGAUUCAUCUGAAAAUUUCAGGGCAGAUAGAUCUUGACCUGAUGAAAAAUUUUAUCCAUGUCAGAUUUGCUCUAAAUGCUUUGGUUUUUGAGUUAUAAGCCAAAAACUGCAUUUUACCCCCUAUGUUCUAUUUUUAGCCAUGGCGGCCAUCUUGGUUGGUUGGCCGGGUCACGCCACACAUUUUUUAAACUAGAUACCCCAAUGAUGAUUGUGGCCAAGUUUGGAUUAAUUUGUCCCAGUAGUUUCAGAGGAGAAGAUUUUUGUAAAGGAUAACUAAGAUUUACUAAAAAUGGUAAAAAAUGGACUAAAAAGGGCAAUAACUCCUAAAGGGGUCAACUGACCAUUUCGGUCACGUUGACUUAUUUGUAAAUCUUACUUUGCUGAACAUUAUUGCUGUUUACAGUUUAUCUCUAUCUAUAAUAAUAUUCAAGAUAAUAACCAAAAACAGCAAAAUUUCCUUUAAAAUUAUCAAUUCAGGGGCAGCAACCCAACAACAGGUUGUCCGAUUCAUCUGAAAAUUUCAGGGCAGAUAGAUCUUGACCUGAUAAACAAUUUUACCCCUGUCAGAUUUGCUCUAAAUGCUUUGGUUUCUGAGUUAUAAGCCAAAAACUGCAUUUUACCCCUAUGUUCUAUUUUUAGCCAUGGCGGCCAUCUUGGUUGGUUGGCCGGGUCACGCCACAAAUUUUUUAAACUAGAGACCCCAAUGAUGAUUGUGGCCAAGUUUGGUUUAAUUUGGCCCAGUAGUUUCAGAGGAGAAGAUUUUUGUAAAAGUUAACGACGACGGACGACGACGACGACGACGGACGACGGACGAC